RNAcentral lists this long non-coding RNA (464 nucleotides) under Homo sapiens (human). RNAcentral describes it as "non-protein coding lnc-C5orf30-7:1". Lineage: Eukaryota; Metazoa; Chordata; Mammalia; Primates; Hominidae. The record is from RNAcentral.
GAUAGGCAAAACAAUUUGGUUGAUAAGGUGCAGAUCCUGAGCUAACCUGUAGGGCUUGUCUGGUUUUAGGACAGGUAAAAUGGGGGAAUUGUAAGGAGAGUUUAUAGUGAAGGAAGCAAGCCUAGAGAAAGGAGAGAGUAGAGAAAUGGAGGGAAGGGGUUGGGGGGGUUCUUACCUUCCAGAAAAGUGGAAAAAGGGGUUGGGGUGCAGAGAUAAGAGGUUGGGGCAUGGAAAUAAGGGAUUGGGGCACAGAGAUAUAAGAGGUUGGGGCACAGAAAUAAGGGAUUAGGGUGCAGAGAUAUGAGGUUGGGGCACGGAAAUAAGGGAUUGGGGCACACAGAUAAGAGGUCGGGGUACGGAAAUAAGGGAUUGGGGCACAGAGAUAAGAGGUUGGGGCAUGGAAAUAAGGGAUUGGGGCACAGAGAUAAGAGGUUGGGGCACAGAAAUAAGGGAUUGGGAGUUCU